This 1747-nucleotide ribosomal RNA is filed under the name human oral metagenome. RNAcentral's name for it is "bacterial LSU rRNA". It matches the Rfam family "Bacterial large subunit ribosomal RNA", at positions 647 to 2375 of the family's 2925-position model. The record is from RNAcentral.
UAAGGAAUAGGAGUUCCGGAGCCUGAGGGAAACCGAGUCUGAAAAGGGCGAAUAGUUGCAUGUCGUAGACCCGAAGCCAGAGUGAUCUAGUCAUGAGCAGGUUGAAGCAGCGGUAAAACGCUGUGGAGGACCGAACUACAAUCUGUUAAAAAAGGUUUGGAUGACUUGUGACUAGGAGUGAAAGGCUAAACAAACCUGGAAAUAGCUGGUUCUCCCCGAAAUGCCUUUAGGGACAGCCUUAUACAAAAUUACCGGAGGUAAAGCACUGGAUGGACUAGGGGGCUUCACCGCCUACCAAACCCAAUCAAACUCUGAAUGCCGGUAAUCAACGUAUAGGAGUGAGACUGCGUGCGACAAGGUUCGUAGUCAAAAGGGAAACAGCCCAGACCGUCAGCUAAGGUCCCGAAAUACUGCUUGAGUGUGAAAUGAAGUGUGGAUACAAAGACAGCCAGGAGGUUGGCUUAGAAGCAGCCAUUCCUUAAAAGAGUGCGUAAUAGCUCACUGGUCGAGUAUACAUGCGCAGAUAAUGUAACGGGGCUAAGCAGUAUACCGAAGCUACGGGUCUUAUGCAUUAAGCAUAAGGCGGUAGGGGAGCAUUCCAUGGACUGAUGAAGGUGUACCUGUCAGGGGCACUGGAGGGGAUGGAAGAGAGAAUGCAGGUAUAAGUACACGAAAAGAAAGGUGAGAUUCCUUUCCGCCGAAAACCUAAGGUUUCCUGGGUAAAGGUCAUCUGCCCAGGGUUAGUCGGCCCCUAAGGCGAGGGCGAAAGCCGUAGUCGAUGGGAAAUCGGUUCAUAUUCCGAUACCUUUUAUAAUUUCGAUGGCAGGACGCAUGAGGCGAACCCCGGCCGGAGAACGGUUGUUCCGGUCGAAGCUUUCCAAGCCGUUAUAAAGGAUAGUAGGCAAAUCCGCUAUCCAAGGUGAGGGGUGACAGCGAGUGGAUCGAUGAGAGAAGCGAAGCGGGAGUAGUCAUGGUGCCGGGAAAUACUGUCUAAGGCUAGGUUAUAAAAGACCGUACCGUAAACCGACACAGGUAGGUAGGAUGAGAAAUCUAAGGCGCUCGAGAGAACUCGCGUUAAGGAACUCGGCAAAAUGCACACGUAACUUAGGGAAAAGUGUGGCCUCUGUUUAGUAAUGAGUGGAGGUAGCAUAAAGCAGGCCCAGGCGACUGUUUAUCAAAAACACAGCCAUCUGCGAAUCAGUAAUGAGACGUAUAGGUGGUGACACCUGCCCGGUGCCGGAAGGUUAAGAGGAGCGGUUAGCAGUAAUGCGAAGCUGUCAAUUGAAGCCCCGGUAAACGGCGGCCGUAACUAUAACGGUCCUAAGGUAGCGAAAUUCCUUGUCGGGUAAGUUCCGACCCGCACGAAUGGUGUAACGUAUCUGGGCACUGUCUCAACGCGAGGCUCGGUGAAAUUUAUAUACCGGUAAAGAAGCCGGUUACCCAUAGUUAGACGGAAAGACCCCGUGAACCUUCACCGUAACUUACUAUUGGGAUUUUAUUUAUCAUGUGUAGAAUAGGUGGGAGACAAUGAGGCGUGGUCGUUAGGCUGCGCGGAGUCGCAAAGUGAAAUACCACUCUUGAUGAAUGAAAUUUCUAACCUGUGCCGUGAAGCCGGUAUAGGGACAAUGGUAGGCAGGCGGUUUGACUGGGGCGGUCGCCUCCUAAAGAGUAACGGAGGUGCGCGAAGGUCUCCUCACUCUGGUUGGAAAUCAGAGCGCGAGUGUAAAGGCACAAGGAGGCUUGACUG